UACGUAGGGUGCAAGCGUUGUCCGGAAUUAUUGGGCGUAAAGAGCUCGUAGGCGGUUUGUCACGUCGGAUGUGAAACCCUGAGGCUCAACCUCAGGCCUGCAUUCGAUACGGGCAGACUAGAAUUCGGCAGGGGAGACUGGAAUUCCUGGUGUAGCGGUGAAAUGCGCAGAUAUCAGGAGGAACACCAAUGGCGAAGGCAGCUCGCUGGGACGGUACUGACGCUGAGGUGCGAAAGCGUGGUGAGCGAACAGG
RNAcentral lists this ribosomal RNA (253 nucleotides) under uncultured bacterium. Its description in RNAcentral is "partial 16S ribosomal RNA". It matches the Rfam family "Bacterial small subunit ribosomal RNA", at positions 524 to 776 of the family's 1533-position model. The record is from RNAcentral.